CAAAACAUGUCUUAUUGAUAAUAAUUUUAAGUCGAUCUGCCCAAUGAUAAUUUUAUUAAAUGGCUGCAGUAUAAUUGACUGUACAAAGGUAGCAUAAUCAAUUGAUUUUUAAAUGAAAUCUGGAAUGAAAGGAUUAAUGAAAUAUAUACUGUCUCAUAUAUAUUUUAUGAAUUUAAAAUUUUAAUAAAAAUGUUAAAAUUUUUUUAUGGGACGAUAAGACCCUAUAGAAUUUUAUAUAAAUUUAUUUUUGUAUUUAAUAUAAAAUUUAAAUUUAUAUUUAAUUGGGAGAAUUAUUAAAUUUAAUAAAUUUUGAUUUUUAUUUACUUAAAUUAGAGAAAAAAUUUUGAUCUUUAAUUUAAAAUUAAUAGAAUAAAUUACCUUAGGGAUAACAGCGUUAUAUUUUUUUAUAGAUCUUAUAGAAAAAAAUGAUUGCGACCUCGAUGUUGAAUUAAGAUAAAUUUUAAAUGUAGAAGUUUAAUAAUUAAGUCUGUUCGACUUUUAAAAUCUUACAUGAUUUGAGUCAAAUCGACGUAAGU
This 536-nucleotide ribosomal RNA is filed under the name Melipona bicolor bicolor. RNAcentral's name for it is "partial 16S ribosomal RNA". The stretch from base 385 to 536 matches the Rfam family "Bacterial large subunit ribosomal RNA", at positions 2473 to 2626 of the family's 2925-position model. Lineage: Eukaryota; Metazoa; Arthropoda; Insecta; Hymenoptera; Apidae. The record is from RNAcentral.